This 2667-nucleotide long non-coding RNA is filed under the name Homo sapiens (human). RNAcentral describes it as "HSALNT0306442". Lineage: Eukaryota; Metazoa; Chordata; Mammalia; Primates; Hominidae. The record is from RNAcentral.
GGCCUCUCAAAAGUGGCUCACAUGCUUCCUUGUCCUUUCACACAAAGUGAUCACUGCUCUUUUUUUUGUUUAGAGUCAGGGUCUUGCUCUGUUGCCCAGGCUGGAGUGCAGUGGUGCAAUCAUAGCUACCUGCAGCCUCCAAUUCCUGGGCUCAAGUGAUCUUCCUGCUUCAGCCUCCCAAGCAGAUGGCACUACAGGUACACACGACCAUACCUGGCUAAUUUUUAAAAAUAUUCUGUAGAGGCAGGGUCUUGCUAUCUUUCCCAGGCUGGAACAGUGAUCAUCUUGAAUACCUUUUCUCCCCUGUAGAAACUGUUAUUCCAUCUUUCCUUUUUUCUUUGUGCCUUGUGUGUUCUUUAAGUUGUAUGCAAAAAGUGUCUCUAUUUAAACAUUUUAAAAGUUAUUAUUUAUAGCUUAUAAAUAGGUAUAACAGCAGUAUAGGUAAAUUUUUCACAAACCAGUUAGUUUCUUAAGUAAAUGGUACUCAACAUGAUAGUUAAGGCACCAAAAAGGACCUCUGUAUUUGAGUGACUAAACCUACGCAAUAAAGAGCAGCAUUUUGUACUCAAAAUAAAUUUUGUAGAAAAGGAAACAUGCUGUGUCUUCUAAAGUAAGACAACAAACACACCCAGAAAGGGGGCCCACAGCAUUCCUUUCCUCUCUUUUUCCACCGUAAUUUCCUCCUCAUAUUGCUUUUCCUUUUGUUUACCUUACUCAGGUUCUCCUGUCCCAGCCCCUGGGCUUGCCAGUGAUGCCCAGAGGAUGAUGUGCCUGGUGGCUGAGCUCUUCCAGAACUAAAGACGUGCGGAUCCCUGAGUAUCCAUAACCAUCAAAGCAUGAAGUAAUGCCUUGUAAGUGGUGUCACCACACCUCCCAGAAGAAGGAUGGAUUCCUACCAGAAGCAGUCAAACAUAGUGCCGGAUCAUCUAAGUGAAACGGAUCCCCAUGGGUGCUGCUAUUGGGAUACCAAAGGUCUGAAGUUCAUCCAAUGCAAUAGCAGAAAUAAUUACAUCUGUGAGCAUGUGAGAAGAACCCUGAGUUAGUCCCAAGUGCAAAUCACCAUCUCCAACCAAUUCCUCCACCAAUUGAUGGAUGUUGGGGAGUGGGGUACAGCAACCCCUCCAAGUCCUUCCUCCCUCUAUAUAGCCCAGGAGACUCCCCUCCCACCAGCCUGGCCCCCAGAGUGCUGACUGGCAACAAUAUUCCAAGUUAAAAUAGUUUGCUAAAUAGUUAUACAAUUAGUUUACAAUUCAAAUAUAUCAGAGGAAAAGACAGGGAAAAAAAUUCUAAGAUACAUGAAUCCCAGACCAUUGCUCUCCAAAUAUUUUCAAGUGAUUCAUCUCCUUUAUUUAAAAAAUGAAUUAACCACCAGAUGGGACACUCAUACAUUCCUGAUGGUUGUAGGAAUCAGUAGACCCUGUAUGGAAAGCAAUAGGAUAAUAUUUCAUAGGAUCAAAUUAAAAUGUUCACAGCAUUGGUUCCAGGAAAUUGGCUUCUGGAGAAUUUAUACUCCAGAAACAAUUCAACAAAAGAACACAGCUCUGUGCAUGCAGAUGCUCAUUAGCCCAUCACCUAGAGUAAGGGAAAGUGGAGAUCCCAAUGAACAACAAUGAGAUGGGUUAGCGAACUGUGACCUAUCAGCCCAAUGGACAUUUAAGCAAUCACUGAAAAGUAGAAACAUGAAGAUAUUACACAACAUGGAAACUGUUUAUGGAGUAUAUUUAGGUAAAAAGGAAAAAAAGGCAGAACUGUAUAUCUGUGGUUGGAUAUACUUUUUUUUUUUUAAUAUUAAGCACCAACCAAAAGAAGAAAGGAGGAUAGAAAAAAUAAAAUGGAAGAUGUAGGGUGGGCAGAUUAGGGCUGCGUUUGUUGCUUGCUUUCAUGUUACCAUCAUAGCGUUUUUGCCACUUACAAAGGAGGAAAAAAAUCAAUUCUGUGCCAACCCAGACAACAGAGACCUGAGUGGGGGUUGGGAAGAGAGAUUUUUCAGCACAGAAUCAGACUCCUUCUCCAAAGAGCUGUGUGGCCUUCACCUGCAAGGCGACCUCUUCCACAAGCAGAGGCCAGGACAAAAAGAGGCACCUGUGAGCGACAAAGACGGUUUCCUUGGUUUCCCUCACGGCGCCAAGCGGAGUGGCCGCCUCCCACCACAGGGCCCCCUAAUGGGCGCUUUUGUCCUGCGGGGCAGAGGGACCUCAUUAGAAGGCGCUGGUGCUAAAGGGAAAUGCAUUUCCAGAACAGGAGGUUUCAUCAUUCCUAGCGUUAGCGACAGAAUGGUGACAGAAGCUCUGUGGACGUAUUUUCCAGCGUUCAGUUCACAUCAAGGAUGGGUAUGCACUGGCGGAAAAGGUCAGCUCGCAGAAUGAUCGCCCAUCCACACAGCGUUUGGAGGUCAGACGUUCCUGAUGACUGUGAAAAUGGGGAGGUGAGAAGAGGUCGUCAAAGGGAGCAGCCUUUUAAAGCCAGGGUCGUGAGAAGAAGAGGCAAGGCGUUUGGUAAAUCGAAUUGAUUGAUGCCCAGAAGCAUUUGCGGGUUGCAGAGCUCACACUUUAAAGGGGGCCUGGGCACCCGGCUUGAGGGUCACCCGAACACACUACCCACGCGGCGAGGCGAGCGUGGGGAACAAUGGGCCCACCCGGGCCCCCACCCGGCGAACAAUGGCGGCGC